UCCAAUAGUUAAUUUUUUAGUAAAUGCCAAACAACAGUUCUCCACCCAGGGUCUUCAACAAUUUCAGGUUCCCUUUCUGCUAUAUGGACUAAUGAUUCCACUUGCUAUCGUUUCAUUCAUGGUUGAAAAAAUUGUAUACAAGUUCUACCCUAAAUAAAAAUCAAGAAAUGUAUGCAUAAAUAAAACUUAAAACAGU
Molecule: long non-coding RNA, 196 nt
Organism: Eurytemora carolleeae
Lineage: Eukaryota; Metazoa; Arthropoda; Copepoda; Calanoida; Temoridae
Exons: 2
Source: RefSeq, a predicted model, not a curated record